Aedes albopictus (Asian tiger mosquito) is the source of this 1758-nucleotide long non-coding RNA. RefSeq lists it as uncharacterized. The record is from RefSeq and is a predicted model, not a curated record. NCBI's taxonomy places the organism in Eukaryota, Metazoa, Arthropoda, Insecta, Diptera, Culicidae. The transcript is spliced from 3 exons.
AAAAAGUUUAAUAAUUUUAUUCAUAUGUUUCAAUUAUUGUUUUUCAUUAGAAACGCUGUUAUUUAUUUUAUAACAUAACCUUAUAGUGCUCAUUUGGGAACCUUAUAUCAGUUAUAACAUAUCCUUAUACCAUGUAUAAGUUUUGUGUUAUGACCAAAAUUUAUAAGUUUUAACUAAUACAUUUUAUAAGUUCUUGUUUUGAAAUAUUUACUCAAUCAUAACCAAAACGUGUCGAUCUAUUUUCAACGGAGGACGCCAUUGCGGCAAGUUCUAUUUCGCGCUAAUCGAAAAUAUGAUUUAGAGGUGUAUCGGUAUCAAAAGCAAAAAGUGUUUAGUAAUUAUGAGAUGAAGCCGGCAGAACCAUAAUCGGUAUCAGCACUCACGAAAGCGCCGGCUGUAUCGUUGCUGCCAUCCGCCCCGCAUAGUUCCAUCUCCAUGGCUAGCGUACACCGGUAGUUCCUCCGCCAAAUCAAAGAGUCAAAUCCAAAAGCAAUCGUUUAGGCCCGAUCUUGCCAGUAAGUGGACGGAAACACCUGAAGCAGGAAGGUGAGAACUUGAGAGAGAACGCAAUCCUGCUGCAGAUUGUCGAAUCUGAACUAAUCAAGGUGUAAUACUUUGUGACUUAAAUGACCUUUAUGUAAUAUUAUACUAGUGGUAAAUAAAAUCAAUUCAAUAAAAUAACAAAUUCUUUUUUUCAUAAAAAAACAAAACGAAAAUCCGUUUCGGGUACCCAUUAGUUUGAAUAAUAGAAAAUAUAAUAAUACUGAAUGAAUCAUAUUAUUUUCCGCCAUGAAAUGUAUAAGACAAAACUUAUACUAUUGAUUAUCCGUCCUUUAUUAACAGUAUAAGCUAUCCUAAUGUGAUUUAUUAGAAAAACGAAAUGGCAAAAAUGUAUAACAUUUUCUUAUACAUUCAAUAAGGAAAUUUCUUUUCGUGUAGUGUCGUGCUCACUGGAAGCAUUGAACGUGUCCGCGUCUUUUUUAAUAAAAAAAAUAAAUAAAAUAAAUAAAUAACGUCCUCACUUGGAUAAACCUGCUUUCCAGCAAGUGUUCUAUAAGUAUUGUCGUCGCGGUUGAAACCCGAAGUUUCUCCACACGCGACAAUCAAUUUUUCUCCAAACCCAUACGUGAAAUCUAACGUCGGACGUAGUGCGCUGGGCAGCGGAUCUGGCCCUCUAUCCAGCGCACUUUGCCCGACGUACGUCCGACGCCCGGUUUGGGAGAAACAUCGAUUUUCGCGUGUCAAAAAAUCCGAUUUUCAACUGCACGAACAAUACUUCUUCAGGUUUUAAUAGACAGCUUUCCUUGCCAAUAUCUACUGUACUCAAAUUUAAAACGAAAACUAAAAAAAAUAUGUCAAGUGAUUUUGUAUUUGAUUAUACAGAGUAGAAUAACAUGACCCAAGCAACAAUAAUAUGUAUUGUUAUUAAUUUGUGACGAAUUGUUUUUAAGUGGAUUUGAGAAAUAAACUCUUUUUUAAUAUUUAAAAAGUCCAUGAGAACUUUGCAGGCACUUUUCCAAAUGUAUAAAAACAACUCAUUUUUUUUACUAAUAGUAACUUUAAAAUAUUAAAGAACAAUUGAAAAACAAUCGAAUCAAUUAGUCACUAAUAAAGCUAAUGUUCACUUAUUGUACGAACUAUAUCGGAUUGAUUUCUAUUGGAAAAAGUAACCAUAUAUCUACUGUGUGUUUUAUUGUGAACAAUAAAAGCAGUCAUAUAUUAAUAAUAUUUACCAUGUAAUGAAUGGUCAUUUUUUAU